UACAGAGGUCCCAAGCGUUGUUCGGAUUCACUGGGCGUAAAGGGUGCGUAGGUGGCGAGGCAAGUCGGAUGUGAAAGCUCGGAGCUCAACUCCGAAAUGGCAUUGGAAACUACCUUGCUCGAGGGUUGGAGGGGGGACUGGAAUUCUCGGUGUAGCAGUGAAAUGCGUAGAUAUCGAGAGGAACACCAGUGGCGAAGGCGAGUCCCUGGACAAUACCUGACACUGAGGCACGAAAGCUAGGGGAGCAAACAGG
This 253-nucleotide ribosomal RNA is filed under the name uncultured bacterium. RNAcentral's name for it is "partial 16S ribosomal RNA". It matches the Rfam family "Bacterial small subunit ribosomal RNA", at positions 524 to 776 of the family's 1533-position model. The record is from RNAcentral.